This 272-nucleotide unclassified non-coding RNA is filed under the name fungal sp. RNAcentral describes it as "partial internal transcribed spacer region". The stretch from base 1 to 46 matches the Rfam family "Eukaryotic small subunit ribosomal RNA", at positions 1786 to 1831 of the family's 1831-position model. The record is from RNAcentral. Lineage: Eukaryota; Fungi.
AAGUCGUAACAAGGUUUCCGUAGGUGAACCUGCGGAAGGAUCAUUACCAAAAAAUCCAAUACCAACCCCUUUUUGUGAAUACUUUGAAUGUACUUGGGAGAGCUUGGAUCUCUCAAAGUUUUUAUUUUUCUUUAAACUUUGACUGCCUUCUCUCCCACGUUUAUUAACCUUAAAACACCUUUCAUGGGUUAACUAUAUAAUAGUAAUUUCAUACUAAAAAAUAAAAUAAUUUAAAAGUUAAACAACUUUUAACGGUGGAUCUCUUGGCUCGU